GCAACAGUGGUCCAGUGGUAGAAUAGUACCCUGCCACGGUACAGACCCGGGUUUGAUUCCAGGCUGGUGCA
Transfer RNA from Ipomoea nil (Japanese morning glory), 71 nucleotides. It matches the Rfam family "tRNA". Rfam says of the family: Transfer RNA (tRNA) molecules are approximately 80 nucleotides in length. Their secondary structure includes four short double-helical elements and three loops (D, anti-codon, and T loops). Lineage: Eukaryota; Viridiplantae; Streptophyta; Magnoliopsida; Solanales; Convolvulaceae. The record is from Rfam.